RNAcentral lists this long non-coding RNA (1892 nucleotides) under Gallus gallus (chicken). RNAcentral's name for it is "lncRNA (ENSGALG00010029816.1)". Lineage: Eukaryota; Metazoa; Chordata; Aves; Galliformes; Phasianidae. The record is from RNAcentral.
GAGCUAAUAAGGAUGAUGUGCUGCUGGCUUAAUGACACCUCGCGGAGCCGUUGUGCCUUCCAGGAGUGCCCAUGCUCCUGUGUCGAUGGCCUCACAGCCCCAAGCAGGUGCUGCAGAGCGGCUCCCACGUGCUGGAGCAGGGCAGGAGGUGGGGCACGGUGAGUGCUGCUACCCUGGGGGAUGGCACCUGUCUGCACCGAGCAGCACAGGGGCUGGAAGAGGUCCUGCUCCCAUCCCUCCCUCACCACUGUGGCUGUGACUUUGCGUUUCCAGACUCCAAGUUGGGACCGUGAGUAGCGGUGGAAGACUGCACAGAACCACGUACUGCGUGGCCCUGGGGAGACAAGUGAGAGCCUGCAGCUUCAGGAGGUGAUGUCAUGCAGCAUAAAAGCCAAGGGGGAAGCUGAAAUGUGGCCUGUUCCAUGUCACACGGCACUGUAGGAGUAGAGAAAUGGUAGAGUCCUCCCGUCAGCUGACAGCCUGCUGAUCUGCUCCCUGCUCUGAACGCUGAUGCAGAGUGCAGCGUUCCCAGGCAGGUGCUCGUGGGGCUGGGCUGCCGUCCUCACCUUAAAGCUGUGCUGUUCUUCUACACAGAGGCUUCAGGGUAUUGCCCCCCUGUGCACAAACAGCACAUAAGCGUGUUGUCAGGCAGCCCACCGGAUAUGGUUUGUGGUGUCAUUUUGUCAUCCCACGUCCUGUCUCCUUCCUGGAUGUCCGAGAUCCUGACUGAAUGCCUGUGCUGUCCACAGCAAUCAGACUCUGCCAUGGGAAACAGUCCUGCAUUCUGCCUGCAGGUGGGCAGACCCAGAUUCAGCACAGUGGGUCCGUAACAUCCCAUGCUUUGAGGGAGAUGGAUUUGCAGUGAAUUAUUCAGACAGUGGUACUUAAGGCCACAGCCAACACAACUGAGAGCCUCGAUGCCUCCUAAUGCUCCCCUGUUCACACGGACUCUGGUGUGGCCCCCCUCUAAACUUGUUCUCUCUUAAAACACGACUUCUUCCUGCAUGGACAAGUUGUUAUGAGACCAUCAAGGUCAGACGUUUGGGGACAGACAGCUGCCUCUGAAUGAGGUCAUUGCUCCAGGACACGGCCGUGCCAGCGCGCGAGGGCAGCAGCAGCGCUCAGCAUCCAGCAGGCACAUGGCCGAGCAGCUGCCCUGCAACGACCGCCCCACAGCUGGGGUUGGGCUGGGGGAUCUCCAGAGGUCCCUGUGAGCCUCUCUGGUUCUGUGGCUCUGUGAAAUGAAGUAACAACAAAAACGAGGGGAUGUGAUGAGUGUGUUUUGGAAGUUGGCAACAGCACAAAGAAAAUUAAGUGUAGCAUGAUUACUUUAUGACUGGAAGAAGUGGAUGUCUAAGGUCAAGACAGGACUGGGAGCAACAGUAAGAGUUCAAAUACACUUCUGAAACCAUAAUUUGAUGAUGAGGCCACACCUUCAACUGGGAUGAUAUGGAUCAAAAGAAGAAAUAGAAGAGGAAGAGUUUAGAAGAAGGCAAGAUAUAUGCACGAUGCAUGCAUGCUACUAAUAAUUCUAAUGAGCUCUCCCAUGUGCUCGCCCUCCUGUACUGAGCUGGUGUAAAGGCCGGGAUGUGCCGGAGCGGUCCCCUCGGUUGUGUCCCGGUACAGCAGCACCCGCCCGCGGUCACCCCGCGCCCCUCCCGGCUGUGCCCCGCUCCGACGCUGGGUCUACAGCUCCUGCGGGCCGGGCGCUUUGUGACCCGCACAGCGGCGGUUGGUGCCACCAUCUGCUGGCGAGCACCCAAAUGGGCCCACCGAGACGCCUUCCAACGGGAGUACGGCAGCACUCGGCCUCCCGCCGCCCCCCGCCUUCUCUGGCUGUUACCCGAGCGGUCCGGGGCCGCCCGCAGCAGAGCUCCACUCCCCGCGGGCGC